RNAcentral lists this transfer RNA (72 nucleotides) under Capra hircus (goat). It matches the Rfam family "tRNA". Rfam says of the family: Transfer RNA (tRNA) molecules are approximately 80 nucleotides in length. Lineage: Eukaryota; Metazoa; Chordata; Mammalia; Artiodactyla; Bovidae. The record is from Rfam by way of RNAcentral. RNAcentral also lists the same sequence under 1 other name.
UCCCUGGUAGCUUGGACGGUUAAGUGUCUGUCUACAAGGCAGGAGACCCAGAUUCAAUCCCUGGGUGGGGAA